This 407-nucleotide ribosomal RNA is filed under the name uncultured bacterium. RNAcentral's name for it is "partial 16S ribosomal RNA". It matches the Rfam family "Bacterial small subunit ribosomal RNA", at positions 30 to 526 of the family's 1533-position model. The record is from RNAcentral.
AUUGAACGCUGGCGGCAGGCCUAACACAUGCAAGUCGAGCGGAGCGGCGGACGGGUGAGUAAUGCCUAGGAAUCUGCCCGGUCGUGGGGGAUAACGUCCGGAAACGGGCGCUAAUAUCGCACACUAUCAGAUGAGCCUAGGUCGGAUUAGCUAGUUGGUGUGGUAAGGGCCUACCAAGGCGACGAUCCGGAACUGGUCUGAGAGGAUGAUCAGUCACACUGUAACUGAGCCACGGUCCGGACUCCGACGGUAGGCAGCAGGGGGGAAUAUUGGACGAUGGGCCAAAGCCUGAUCCAGCCAUGCCGCGUGUGUGAAGAGGGUCUUCGGAUUGUAAAGCACUUUAAGUUGGGAGGCGUUACCAACAGAAUAAGCACCGGCUAACUUCGUGCCAGCAGCCGCGGUAAUUC